This 301-nucleotide ribosomal RNA is filed under the name uncultured bacterium. Its description in RNAcentral is "partial 16S ribosomal RNA". It matches the Rfam family "Bacterial small subunit ribosomal RNA", at positions 510 to 808 of the family's 1533-position model. The record is from RNAcentral.
CGUAGCCGCGGGAAGACAGAGGAUGCAAGCGUUAUCCGGAAUGAUUGGGCGUAAAGCGUCUGUAGGUGGCUUUUCAAGUCUGAUGUGAAAGCCCCCGGCUCAACCGGGGAGGGUCAUUGGAAACUGGGAAACUUGAGUGCAGAAGAGGAGAGUGGAAUUCCACGUGUAGCGGUGAAAUGCGUAGAGAUGUGGAGGAACACCAGUGGCGAAGGCGACUCUCUGGUCUGUAACUGACGCUGAGGAGCGAAAGCGUGGGGAGCGAACAGGAUUAGAUACCCCCGUAGUCCCUGUCUCUUAUACC